This 252-nucleotide long non-coding RNA is filed under the name Anser brachyrhynchus (Pink-footed goose). RNAcentral's name for it is "lncRNA (ENSABRG00000005448.1)". The record is from RNAcentral. Lineage: Eukaryota; Metazoa; Chordata; Aves; Anseriformes; Anatidae.
GAUUAAUCCACAGAUAUGGAAUUAGACUGCAUGGCUGAGUCUGAGCCUGCAAUUGUUUUUGUUUGGGGAUCCAAGCACAUGAAGAGAUUUGAAUGUGCAGCCUGCUUCCUUCUGAAUUACUUAAGAAGAAAUGUGAGCUCAUCAGACUGCCAUAUGGAGUCAACAGAAAGCAUAAAAGGGUUUGCAGGAAGGAGAGCAUCAAAGCUCGAUGGAAGCUGGCCAAGAAUAUUUGAAGAAUUAACAUGUACGUGA